RNAcentral lists this ribosomal RNA (164 nucleotides) under uncultured bacterium. RNAcentral's name for it is "partial 16S ribosomal RNA". It matches the Rfam family "Bacterial small subunit ribosomal RNA", at positions 355 to 511 of the family's 1533-position model. The record is from RNAcentral.
UGGGGAAUUUUGGACAAUGGGCGCAAGCCUGAUCCAGCCAUGCCGCGUGCAGGAUGAAGGCCUUCGGGUUGUAAACUGCUUUUGUACGGAACGAAACGGCCUUUUCUAAUAAAGAGGGCUAAUGACGGUACCGUAAGAAUAAGCACCGGCUAACUACGUGCCAG